RNAcentral lists this ribosomal RNA (497 nucleotides) under uncultured bacterium. RNAcentral describes it as "partial 16S ribosomal RNA". It matches the Rfam family "Bacterial small subunit ribosomal RNA", at positions 28 to 507 of the family's 1533-position model. The record is from RNAcentral.
GAUGAACGCUGGCGGCGUGCCUAAUACAUGCAAGUCGAGCGAACAGACGAGGAGCUUGCUCCUCUGACGUUAGCGGCGGACGGGUGAGUAACACGUGGAUAACCUACCUAUAAGACUGGGAUAACUUCGGGAAACAGGAGCUAAUACCGGAUAAUAUAUUGAACCGCAUGGUUCAAUAGUGAAAGACGGUUUUGCUGUCACUUAUAGAUGGAUCCGCGCCGCAUUAGCUAGUUGGUAAGGUAACGGCUUACCAAGGCAACGAUGCGUAGCCGACCUGAGAGGGUGAUCGGCCACACUGGAACUGAGACACGGUCCAGACUCCUACGGGAGGCAGCAGUAGGGAAUCUUCCGCAAUGGGCGAAAGCCUGACGGAGCAACGCCGCGUGAGUGAUGAAGGUCUUCGGAUCGUAAAACUCUGUUAUUAGGGAAGAACAAAUGUGUAAGUAACUAUGCACGUCUUGACGGUACCUAAUCAGAAAGCCACGGCUAACUACGUG